AAAUUGAAGAGUUUGAUCAUGGCUCAGAUUGAACGCUGGCGGCAGGCCUAACACAUGCAAGUCGAACGGUAACAGGAAACAGCUUGCUGUUUCGCUGACGAGUGGCGGACGGGUGAGUAAUGUCUGGGAAACUGCCUGAUGGAGGGGGAUAACUACUGGAAACGGUAGCUAAUACCGCAUAAUGUCGCAAGACUAAAGAGGGGGACCUUCGGGCCUCUUGCCAUCGGAUGUGCCCAGAUGGGAUUAGCUAGUAGGUGGGGUAACGGCUAACCUAGGCGACGAUCCCUAGCUGGUCUGAGAGGAUGACCAGCCACACUGGAACUGAGACACGGUCCAGACUCCUACGGGAGGCAGCAGUGGGGAAUAUUGCACAAUGGGCGCAAGCCUGAUGCAGCCAUGCCGCGUGUAUGAAGAAGGCCUUCGGGUUGUAAAGUACUUU
Molecule: ribosomal RNA, 439 nt
Filed under: Shigella sonnei
Lineage: Bacteria; Pseudomonadati; Pseudomonadota; Gammaproteobacteria; Enterobacterales; Enterobacteriaceae
Description: bacterial SSU rRNA
Rfam family: Bacterial small subunit ribosomal RNA
Source: RNAcentral